Molecule: ribosomal RNA, 468 nt
Filed under: uncultured bacterium
Lineage: Bacteria
Description: partial 16S ribosomal RNA
Rfam family: Bacterial small subunit ribosomal RNA
Source: RNAcentral
UGGGGAAUAUUGCACAAUGGGCGCAAGCCUGAUGCAGCCAUGCCGCGUGUGUGAAGAAGGCCUUCGGGUUGUAAAGCACUUUCAGCGAGGAGGAAGGUGGUGAGCUUAAUACGCUCAUCAAUUGACGUUACUCGCAGAAGAAGCACCGGCUAACUCCGUGCCAGCAGCCGCGGUAAUACGGAGGGUGCAAGCGUUAAUCGGAAUUACUGGGCGUAAAGCGCACGCAGGCGGUUUGUUAAGUCAGAUGUGAAAUCCCCGGGCUCAACCUGGGAACUGCAUUUGAAACUGGCAAGCUAGAGUCUCGUAGAGGGGGGUAGAAUUCCAGGUGUAGCGGUGAAAUGCGUAGAGAUCUGGAGGAAUACCGGUGGCGAACGGCGGCCCCCUGGACGAAGACUGACGCUCAGGUGCGAAAAGCGUGGGGAGCAAAACAGGAUUAGAUACCCUGGUAGUCCACGUGUAAACGAUGUC